Molecule: ribosomal RNA, 253 nt
Filed under: uncultured bacterium
Lineage: Bacteria
Description: partial 16S ribosomal RNA
Rfam family: Bacterial small subunit ribosomal RNA
Source: RNAcentral
UACAGAGGGGGCAAGCGUUUGUUCGGAAUUACUGGGCGUAAAGGGCGCGUAGGCGCCUUCUAAGUCGAACGUGAAAUCCCCGGGCUCAACCCGGGAACUGCGUCCGAUACUGGAAGGCUUGAAUCCGGGAGAGGGAUGUGGAAUUCCAGGUGUAGCGGUGAAAUGCGUAGAUAUCUGGAGGAACACCGGUGGCGAAGGCGACAUCCUGGACCGGUAUUGACGCUGAGGCGCGAAAGCGUGGGGAGCAAACAGG